Molecule: ribosomal RNA, 793 nt
Filed under: Boraceomyia sp. ER-2009
Lineage: Eukaryota; Metazoa; Arthropoda; Insecta; Diptera; Mycetophilidae
Description: bacterial SSU rRNA
Rfam family: Eukaryotic small subunit ribosomal RNA
Source: RNAcentral
UCACAUCCGAGGCCUUGUAAUUGGAAUGAGUACACUUUAAAUCCUUUAACAAGGAUCAAUUGGAGGGCAAGUCUGGUGCCAGCAGCCGCGGUAAUUCCAGCUCCAAUAGCGUAUAUUAAAGUUGUUGCGGUUAAAACGUUCGUAGUUGAACUUGUGUUUCGCACGGGCAGCUGCCAUAGGCCAGUUCACUGGUCCGGUAACUUGUCUUAUCAGUGCGUGGACGUAUUAUCGGCGUGUUCACAAUAGCUCAUUUCAGUGAUCUUAACCGAUUGUUGUUGUGAGCCGAUACAAAUUACUUUGAACAAAUUAGAGUGCUUAAAGCAGGCUUGUAAUGCCUGAAUAUUUUGUGCAUGGAAUAAUGAAAUAGGACAUCUGUUCUACUUUCAUUGGUUUUUUAGACCAAGAUGUAAUGAUUAAUGGAAGCAGUUGGGGGCAUUAGUAUUACAACGCGAGAGGUGAAAUUCUUAGACCGUUGUAAGACUGACUAAAGCGAAAGCAUUUGCCAAAGAUGUUUUCAUUUAAUCAAGAACGAAAGUUAGAGGUUCGAAGGCGAUCAGAUACCGCCCUAGUUCUAACCAUAAACGAUGCCAGCUAGCAAUUGAGUGUAGCUACUACUAUGGCUCUUUCAGUCGCUUCUCGGGAAACCAAAGCUUUUGGGCUCCGGGGGAAGUAUGGUUGCAAAGCUGAAACUUAAAGGAAUUGACGGAAGGGCACCACCAGGAGUGGAGCCUGCGGCUUAAUUUGACUCAACACGGGAAAACUUACCAGGUCCGAACAUAAAUGAGUAAGACAG